UGGGACAGAUGUUUGCAGCUUUGCAGCCCUUGUAUUUACAUCCUGUCAAGGGGACACUGCCAAGACCAGGGGCCUCUCAUCUGACCCACCUUCAACUCGCUAAACUCUUAUAAACUUCAAGCAAAAACUUCAAUCAGUUAUUUUUAGGAUGGGUUGGAGCUGUAAAACACUGUUAUUUUUACAAACACACAUAAACACAGAGGGGUUUUUUCCAGAGCUGUGUUUUUGUAGGAUCUAACAAUGCCCUGCACUCGGGGUGUCAGCAGCUUCCUAACGCUCCCCUCCAAUCCUGCUGUGGUUGUGUGCUUCUCCAGGAAUCCCAGCACCCUCUGGCUCUGUUCUUGUGGUUUCUGCUGAAUCCCUUCUCAAUCAAUCCCUUCUCAAUCAGUCAAUCCCCUCUCAAUCAAUCAAUCAAUCCCCUCUCAAUCAAUCCCCUCUCAAUCAAUCAAUCAAUCCCCUCUCAAUCAAUCAAUCCCCUCUCAAUCAAUCCCUUCUCAAUCAAUCAAUCCCUUCUCAAUCAAUCAAUCAAUCAAUCCCUUCUCAAUCAGUCAAUCCCUUCUCAAUCAAUCCCCUCUCAAUCAAUCCCCUCUCAAUCAAUCAAUCCCCUCUCAAUCAAUCCCCUCUCAAUCAGUCAAUCCCCUCUCAAUCAAUCCCCUCUCAAUCAAUCCCCUCUCAAUCAAUCAAUCCCCUCUCAAUCAAUCAAUCCCCUCUCAAUCAAUCCCCUCUCAAUCAAUCAAUCAAUCCCCUCUCAAUCAAUCAAUCAAUCAAUCAAUCCCCUCUCAAUCAAUCAAUCCCCUCUCAGUCAAUCCCCUCUCAAUCAAUCCCCUCUCAGUCAAUCCCCUCUCAGUCAAUCAAUCAAUCCCCUCUCAGUCAAUCCCCUCUCAAUCAUUCCCUUCUCAAUCAAUCCCCUCUCAAUCAAUCAAUCAAUCCCCUCUCAAUCCAUCCCCUCUCCUCCCCAGGCCCUUCUGGAAGGUUCCUGCGGGGCUCUGGGGGGUGGCAGUGCUGUUUUUCCCUGGAGUUUGGGCUGGCAGAGGAGGAAGCAGCGGUACCUGUCGAAGGAGGGUCUCUCGCCGGCGUCGAAGGCGUCGCGGAGCCGCCUGACCAGGCUGUCCUGGCCGGGCAGGCGGAAGAUCCCCUCCUCGGCCACGCCGUGCUCCCGGAUGAACUCGGCGCUUUUCUGCACCAGGAUGGGCACCAGCAGCUGCCCGAAUUUCUGCUCGUAGGCCAUGGUGUCUGCCAGGCUCUGCCCGAACAC
RNAcentral lists this long non-coding RNA (1255 nucleotides) under Cyanistes caeruleus (blue tit). RNAcentral describes it as "lncRNA (ENSCCEG00000003708.1)". Lineage: Eukaryota; Metazoa; Chordata; Aves; Passeriformes; Paridae. The record is from RNAcentral.